UUUCAACAAUAUAGUCUGGAGUAGAAUACCUAAGAAUGUAUAAUUUGUUGGAAGAAAAACUUUAGAAAUAGGGGUAUUUGAUGCAAUCUUGACAUUCAAUGAUGGAAACUUAGGUAGAUUAAAUGUUGUGAAAGAACUUGGGAUUGUUAACUACGGUAUAAACACUGUUGUGGCGCUGAAAAAAGUUGAUGAGGUUCGACUUCAAAAGGCUCAACGGGCAGCACAGGAUGCAACCAAAGAAUCCAGAAUUGCUAAAAGAAGAAAGAAACUUGAAGAAGAAGAAGGAGCAUCCUCUCAAUACUGCCCAGGUGGAUUUUAAGUGGCUGAGCGGUGGAUGUCAUUACGUGAGAGAGUAAAGAGGUGGUCAGAUGAUCAUGGUCUUCGGCUAAACUCUGAUAAAUGUUCUGUUUGGUUAGUAAAAUGGCUCAUCUUUGAAUGGCCAAACGGGAAAGUGCAUGGCUGAUGGUUGUAUCCAUGUAGACGGUAAGCCUUUGACUUCAUGUAGAAUCAAGAAUCAAGAAUUUAUUCAACAAAUUACAAAAUGUACAUUUUGUAUAGUUGACGUCAAUAUUACUUUCUUAAGACCAAGGAGUUGUCAUGAAAAGCAGAGUUUGUACUUUGAUGAACGCUCGACCAAUAAAGAGUGAAUUGAGCAUUGACGCAGCAGAACCUCGGUGAUGAAUAAAUAUGGACAUACAAUGGUUGUAGAAAACACAUCAAAGAAGAAGGACUAGAAGAAGGAAACACAUUCUAAAGAGGACCAGAAAUCCACAAUAGAAGCCCUGAUAGGCGGAGGGCACUUUUCUCCUGCUAUUCACUCGAGAUCUCCAUACAGAAGUUAAUAUUGGGGUUUAGCAAAGGAUUUCAAACAUUUUAUGAUAUAAAAUUACAUGGCACAUUGUAGAUCCUAACAUAUGUUUGUAUUUAAUUAAAUAAAAGAUUUCAAAAGUAACGUAUA
This is a long non-coding RNA of Homalodisca vitripennis (glassy-winged sharpshooter), 958 nucleotides long. RefSeq lists it as uncharacterized. The record is from RefSeq and is a predicted model, not a curated record. The transcript is spliced from 4 exons. Lineage: Eukaryota; Metazoa; Arthropoda; Insecta; Hemiptera; Cicadellidae.